Non-coding RNA from Oreochromis niloticus (Nile tilapia), 1887 nucleotides. The record is from the annotation of a RefSeq genome assembly. Lineage: Eukaryota; Metazoa; Chordata; Actinopteri; Cichliformes; Cichlidae.
GCUGAAGAGGCUUUACAAAAACAUCCUGCCAUCUAUUUUUAGAAGAACCCAAAGGAAGCAGUUGUUCAUCAAAAACAGGGACACCGGCUGAUGAGACAGUUGUAAGAAAUUUCUUUAAUAUAAGAGAUGAUAAUGAUAAUAAGAAACAUUAUUUAGAAAAAAAGCAAAUAAUGAAAAUAAUGGACAUGGAUAAAAAAAAGAUUGCCACCUAUCAGACGUUUAUUAAAACUUUUAAAUAAAAAUAUUUUUAAUAAGACCAGAAGCUCCCAUGCUAUCACCUUGAGUACCAACCUGUUGUCUGUAGCUCUGCUGCUGCUGGAUCCUGUGACUCUCACUGAAGUCGAGACACUGACAGCAGGAUCACAGCACAUUAAGUGUUACUGUUAUUACAGUGAUAUUCAAUGUUUUUUCAAAAACAUUUAAACAUGAACAGUUGGCACAGCUUUCCUCUUGAAAUGUGCACUUACUGAAUACUGAAAACAACAUUUACAGAAAAAAAAUCUGAACUUUUGAUGCGCAGGUCUAACUGUAUAUCUCUGUGAACGUAGAAUAAGAUUUGAAAUAUCAGUUUUAUCUUUUAUUUUCUGUUUAUGAACGCCCACAUAAACUUGGGUUGUAAAACAUAUAUUUGAAUAAAAGAAAUCAAUUAAAGAAGGUCUGAACUGAUAUGACAAACCCAUUUUUUUUUUACAAUUCUUUAUUAAAUUAUUUUAUGUAUAUGAUAUAAAAUGAAAGCUUAGACAGAUGGAUUCAUCUUUUUUUUUAACUUUCAGUGUGUAUCAAAAGUGUUUAGAAAACAAAAUCUGCAAAUUCAACACUUAAUUAAACAAGAGACAUAAGCUGAAUUUUUUUAAACAAGAAACUGUUUUUUUUUCCUGUUUAGUUCAUAUAAACCUCCACUGUUUUAAAUAGUUUAAGCACAAUAAUUUAACACCUUUUUUGCACAACCCAUUUUCUAUAGUUCCAUUUUAUAGGAAAAUACCUAGCUAUAAUCCAAAUGUUUCUGCAGUCAGAAACAUAUAUUUAACUUAAGGGUUGCAUAAUAUUUGAGAGUUAUUUUUACAGGUGGAAACUUCAGUAAUCGUUCUGUUAUAACAUUUUUGUAUCCAUGUAUGUAAAUUGCACUUACUCAGUCUCCUAUAAGAGUUGAGAUCAUGCCAUCAGUGACACAAAGGAGGGAAAUCAUUGAGUGCAACAUGUUCUCUGUAGCUGUGCUCCUGCUGCUGCUGGUUUCUGGAUCCUGUGUAAAAUGUGAGCAGUUGACACAGACAGCAUCUGUGAAUGUACAGCCAGGUCAUCGUCUGACCAUCACCUGUCAGGUGGCUUAUUCUCUAAGCAGCUAUCGGACAGCUUGGAUCAGACAGCCUGCAGGGAAAGGACUGGAGUGGAUUGGAGAUGCACAUUAUGGAUACCCCACAUUUUACAAAGAUUCACUAAAGAACAAGUUCACCAUCAACUUAGACACUUCAAGCAAGACAGUGACUCUAAAUGGACAGAACAUGAGGCCUGAAGACACUGCUGUGUAUUACUGUGCCAGAGACCCACAGUAACACAAAACAUCAGUAGAGCUGAACAAAAACCUCUCACAGCUUCAACAUGUGUAACAUCCUCCACCAGAAGAGGAGCCCCCAGACUACAGAACACUGUUAUCUGCUGCAUGUCGCUGUUUAGCGCUGGAAAAUGCCAUGAUAAUAUAUAUUCUUUUAAAGUUAUAGUUAUAGAUAAAGUUUUAUAUUUUGUAUUUCCAAUUCAACCUUAAUAACCUGCUAAAUUUUUGACAUUUUUUAUCUGUAAUUAAGUAAUUAAUUAGUUUUAAAAAGUUCUUAAAAGUUCAUUAAAAGUUCUUCCAUCUAAACCUUUGUGUAAAACCACCUGUAAUAAAGGUUA